GAGGAAGGUCCCCCACAUUGGAACUGAGACACGGUCCAAACUCCUACGGGAGGCAGCAGUGAGGAAUAUUGGUCAAUGGGCGAUGGCCUGAACCAGCCAAGUAGCGUGAAGGAUGACUGCCCUAUGGGUUGUAAACUUCUUUUAUAAAGGAAUAAAGUCGGGUAUGCAUACCCGUUUGCAUGUACUUUAUGAAUAAGGAUCGGCUAACUCCGUGCCAGCAGCCGCGGUAAUACGGAGGAUCCGAGCGUUAUCCGGAUUUAUUGGGUUUAAAGGGAGCGUAGAUGGAUGUUUAAGUCAGUUGUGAAAGUUUGCGGCUCAACCGUAAAAUUGCAGUUGAUACUGGAUGUCUUGAGUGCAGUUGAGGCAGGCGGAAUUCGUGGUGUAGCGGUGAAAUGCUUAGAUAUCACGAAGAACUCCGAUUGCGAAGGCAGCCUGCUAAGCUGCAAC
RNAcentral lists this ribosomal RNA (447 nucleotides) under uncultured Bacteroidales bacterium. Its description in RNAcentral is "bacterial SSU rRNA". It matches the Rfam family "Bacterial small subunit ribosomal RNA", at positions 296 to 740 of the family's 1533-position model. The record is from RNAcentral. Lineage: Bacteria; Pseudomonadati; Bacteroidota; Bacteroidia; Bacteroidales.